AUGAACGCUGGCGGCGUGCCUAAUACAUGCAAGUCGCGCGAACGGACGAGAAGCUUGCUUCUCUGAUGUUAGCGGCGGACGGGUGAGUAACACGUGGAUAACCUACCUAUAAGACUGGGAUAACUUCGGGAAACCGGAGCUAAUACCGGAUAAUAUUUUGAACCGCAUGGUUCAAAAGUGAAAGACGGUCUUGCUGUCACUUAUAGAUGGAUCCGCGCUGCAUUAGCUAGUUGGUAAGGUAACGGCUUACCAAGGCAACGAUGCAUAGCCGACCUGAGAGGGUGAUCGGCCACACUGGAACUGAGACACGGUCCAGACUCCUACGGGAGGCAGCAGUAGGGAAUCUUCCGCAAUGGGCGAAAGCCUGACGGAGCAACGCCGCGUGAGUGAUGAAGGUCUUCGGAUCGUAAAACUCUGUUAUUAGGGAAGAACAUAUGUGUAAGUAACUGUGCGCAUCUUGACGGUACCUAAUCAGAAAGCCACGGCUAACUACGUG
This 496-nucleotide ribosomal RNA is filed under the name uncultured bacterium. RNAcentral's name for it is "partial 16S ribosomal RNA". It matches the Rfam family "Bacterial small subunit ribosomal RNA", at positions 29 to 507 of the family's 1533-position model. The record is from RNAcentral.